This 253-nucleotide ribosomal RNA is filed under the name uncultured bacterium. RNAcentral describes it as "partial 16S ribosomal RNA". It matches the Rfam family "Bacterial small subunit ribosomal RNA", at positions 524 to 776 of the family's 1533-position model. The record is from RNAcentral.
UACGGAGGGUGCGAGCGUUAAUCGGAAUUACUGGGCGUAAAGGGCGCGUAGGCGGCAUGCCAAGUUGACUGUGAAAGACCCGGGCUUAACCUGGGCAGGCCAGUCAAAACUAGCAAGCUAGAGUGUUGGAGAGGACAGUGGAAUUUCCGGUGUAGCGGUGAAAUGCGUAGAUAUCGGAAGGAACACCAGUGGCGAAGGCGACUGUCUGGCCAAACACUGACGCUGAGGCGCGAAAGCGUGGGUAGCAAACAGG